Molecule: ribosomal RNA, 253 nt
Filed under: uncultured bacterium
Lineage: Bacteria
Description: partial 16S ribosomal RNA
Rfam family: Bacterial small subunit ribosomal RNA
Source: RNAcentral
UACAGAGGAUGCAAGCGUUAUCCGGAAUGAUUGGGCGUAAAGCGUCUGUAGGUGGCUUUUUAAGUCCGCCGUCAAAUCCCAGGGCUCAACUCUGGACAGGCGGUGGAAACUACCAAGCUGGAGUACGGUAGGGGCAGAGGGAAUUUCCGGUGGAGCGGUGAAAUGCGUAGAGAUCGGGAGGAACACCGGUGGCGAAGGCGGGUCUCUGGGCAAUUCCUGACGCUGAGGCGCGAAAGCGUGGGGAGCAAACGGG